Molecule: long non-coding RNA, 602 nt
Organism: Ictalurus punctatus (channel catfish)
Lineage: Eukaryota; Metazoa; Chordata; Actinopteri; Siluriformes; Ictaluridae
Source: Ensembl
GUUCUUAUAGAUCUAUGAUACUCUUCCACUGGUGAGAUCCCUGCCUCUUCCCUUUAAGAAGGCUUUUAAAAACACCUACACACUUAAAAAAUCAACAAUGACCAUGAUCAAACAAGCACAGGACAACAAGAGUCCCAGGAAAGCCAAGAGACUUUGUCGACUGCUAUCUGGAUGAGCUGGAUACGGUAUGUGAUUGUGUGGGUAUAAAAGAAGAAGCCUUUUGUUUGUCACAUAUUCAUUACAGCACAGUGAAUUUAUUUUCGUCACAUAUCCCAACAUGUUAUAAAAUGUUGCAGAUUCCAUGAAAUGCCAGCACAAUCUUUAGCAGUGGUGGCUCAAUGGUUAAGGCUCUGAGUUACUGCUCAGAAGGUUGGGGGUCUCUACUCUAGAGCUGGGACUGAUACCACCUCCAACACCCUCCUUACGGCUUUCCUCUACCUCAUGGCUUAUCCAGACAUUCAGGAGAGAUGCCAGCAGGAGAUUGAUGAGGUUCUACAGGGAAAAGCUCAUGUGUCUUUUGAGGACAGACACAACAUGCCUUACACACAGGCGGUUGAUUCAUGAGUCUCAGCGCAUCGCCAACACUGUCCCUCUGAGUGUGU